AACGCACCUUGCGCUCCUUGGUAUUCCGAGGAGCAUGCCUGUUUGAGUGUCAUUAAUAUAUCAACCUCCUCAGGUUUUUACUUGUCGAGUGUUUGGAUGUGGGGGUUUUUUUGCUGGUCUCUUUUGAGGUCGGCUCCCCUAAAAUGCAUUAGCGGAACAAUUUGUUGACCCGUUCAUUGGUGUGAUAACUAUCUACGCUUUUGACGUUAAACAGGUUCAGCUUCUAACAGUCCAUUGACUUGGACAAAUUUUCAUUAAUGUGACCUCAAAUCAGGUAGGACUACCCGCUGAACUUAA
This 297-nucleotide unclassified non-coding RNA is filed under the name Cortinarius sp. Its description in RNAcentral is "partial contains 5.8S ribosomal RNA, internal transcribed spacer 2, and large subunit ribosomal RNA". The stretch from base 1 to 52 matches the Rfam family "5.8S ribosomal RNA", at positions 103 to 154 of the family's 154-position model. RNAcentral also lists the same sequence under 2 other names. Lineage: Eukaryota; Fungi; Basidiomycota; Agaricomycetes; Agaricales; Cortinariaceae. The record is from RNAcentral.